AAUUAAAGAGGAGACCACUUUUCUUUCGAGGAAUCUUUUAUAGAUGACGAAAAAAAAAAAAAAAAAAGAGUCGCGAAAGGUGAAACUCAUCGAGUAGUCUACAUAAUCGCUGUUACGAGAUCUGUAAUUCGUCUUUCGAAACGUCGAUCUUCUUCUUCUCUGAAUGCGUACAGAGUUAAACAUGUUUAAAUAGUGAUGAGGCUUUCCCGCACUACUUCCUAACCGCGCAGUGAAGCUAGGAAUAUUUAAAUUCGCCACAUUUUUAAUACGGUAUUUAGUUGCGUUGGGAGGCGUGUAACUCGUGGCCAUGGCGAAAUUUCGGAAGGAAACAGUUUAAUUGGUGCGAAUUUUUCGGUUAAAUUCUCCUAAUUCCAAGAUAUAAACAGAAUCGGGGCUGUUUUCCUAGACUGAAUACGUUUUCUAAUGAUAAAGUGGAGAUGAAGCGCUAUCAGUUAUGAGAGUUAACUGAUUGGAAUGAAUGUACAACACAAAAAUCCAGGAUAACACGGCCAUGAAUUAUUUAUUUAAACUGAGGAUGCAGAGUCUUCCUCCUCUUCUAUUCGAACUGCCGCCUUCCGCUCCUCCAGCUAUUCAUCUGUGAAUAAAUGAGUGCGACCUUCUGAUAUUAACGUGCUUUACUAUAUCUUAGUUUCGCCAACAAACUUUUCCCAACAUCUAUUCUCAUUUCCUUCCCCCUCCUGAGAGUAAAGGGAGACGAGUGGCUCCACCUGUCAUCUACGUCCCGAGUUAAUUUGGCAGCGGACAACCUCACCAUCUGUUGCAUUGUUUACGGCAUUGUAGCUCUGAUUUAAGACUAAUUUAAAAGAACGUGAGGGGAUAGAGGUGCGUGACGCAACGUGACGUCACGUCGUCGUCACGCUCCCCACUCCACACGCGCGCGCGCGCUCAUAUCGGUUUUGUUUUUUUUUCCCAUCCCUCGCCAUGGAAGCGUAACAGGUUUUGGGGAGACCCUUUAGCAAUUCGGACGCACUUAACUAAUUUCGGGCUCAUUCAAUUAUAAGUUAUUGUCUGCAUAUAGAUGGACAAAUUAUAUAGUACUCCGCCCCGCUCGGCCCGUAUUGCGUCACGUGACUGCCGCACCCACACCGUACCGGAUCUUCCCCACCCUCUGAAAGGCCUCGCCUGCUCCGUCCAUCCCUUUACUUUACACUUUCGCUUAUCUGCCGUGAAAGUGAAUUAAGUAUGCCCAGCAUCAGAUAUAUAUAAACACGUAUAUAUAUACACACGUACGGACUCGCAUCGCUGCUUUUUACCCUCCCCCCUCCUCCGCCCUUUAAAAUCGAAACUAAUUCCUUCGGUGUUUUUGUAUUUCCGUCGGGCGCAAUGGGGAUUGAUGACGUCACCGGUCAUUCCCGUCAAAAUGGGCGUGGUACUUCGGGGGGGCGACAGACAAAAGUUUUAAUCGGGAUAAUGGAUUUAUCGCUAUCUCAGCCCUUUCUGUCCAGUCUGCGGAUAUAUCGGAUCGCCCGACCUACGUCGUUAGAGGUGGUUUGUACCUCACCCCUCUAGAGGGGAGGGAGACCACCGUUGGGAGCUGCAGACGCGCUGCUGGUGUUAAGCUUAAUGAGUCAGCAAUCGAUUGGCACGCAUAAUAUCUAUAUAUCUCCCUGCAUGGCUCACAAUUUAGAUUAUUCUCUUAACCCAUUAUCUGUGCAACUUAAUAUUAGUGUAAAUCCCAAUAAAAAUUGUUAGCAAUCGUAAAUAACAACCGACUCGUCCCGGAGUUGCGACUCAAAAUCGCUGAAGACAAACAUGAAGUAUAUUUAAAAUGGCGGAAUUUUAAAGUUUUACUGUCACUCCACUUCUCUUCGGCGGUCUCCAGAAAACCAACUUGUUCGGAUCUGAUUUUCCAAGUGUUAAGGGCGCCGAGAGAGGAGGGACGUCAGAUCAACCGAAUCCCGUUGUAGACGGUGCGGUGGGUUUCGGUAGCGCUUUGCGCGGGGGUCGUAGAUGCAUAGUAGACAUCUGGAUAGCAGAGGGGAGGCUCCGCCCUGGCAGAACCCGAUCAGACCGUCAGCUCGUCGAUGUUUCAAGCAGAUCCUUUUGUGGGCCAUAAAAUUGAUUUUUUUUUCCUGCUUUACUGUUUAAAAGUGUGGGAUUAUGUGCAGCACCAUACGUAUACCCCGCCAGUAAAACGGGUAACGGGACUCAAUAAAACACCACCUGUGGCCGUAUUUGUUUUUAUAGUUCUGCUUCUCCUUUUAAUAGGUGACUUAAUGUGUUGUUGUGAAUGACUAGAUACUGUUUUCGCACUCCAUAUUUUCAGUUUUGCUAAAAGUGGUUCUAAACACUAAAAAAAAGUAUAAAAAUCCCCAACAUUUGUCCGAUGGGAUUUAAUAUCGAUUGAGUUCGGUCAGGAGUAAUUAUGUGCUUGUUCGUGCACAUCCGUGUGUCCCCUCUAUCAACUAAAACAAAAUAAAUAUUUAACCCUCCGCAGCAAAAUAACAUGAACGGUGAUUACUCUGGUAUCCAUAUUAGUAUGCGGGCAUCCGCUGAAUUUAAAUGGACCAUAGGCACUUAAUGCUUAUCUGAAUCGAUUGUGGUCCUUUUAAAAUUUCAUUUCUCUCAUACAGGAAUAUAAAAUAGGAGGAGGAUAUGCGAGCACUGAUUUGGAGCAGAAACCAUCGCCUAUCGGUUGAACAUCAGAAAACUGGAUGAAUUUAUUUUCUAAACCUAUCCUGGGAUCGUUUAAAAAUCCUUUACAAGUUAGAGUAAUUUAGCAACUAUAAAAAUAAUGUCUAAUCUAUCAAUUAAGAGA
This 2779-nucleotide long non-coding RNA is filed under the name Androctonus crassicauda. The record is from RNAcentral. Lineage: Eukaryota; Metazoa; Arthropoda; Arachnida; Scorpiones; Buthidae.